This 549-nucleotide long non-coding RNA is filed under the name Homo sapiens (human). RNAcentral describes it as "non-protein coding lnc-JMJD1C-13:1". The record is from RNAcentral. Lineage: Eukaryota; Metazoa; Chordata; Mammalia; Primates; Hominidae.
AUGGUUUGUUAUUCAUUUGUCCUGAAAAUUUUACAAAAUUCCACAAAUCUAGAAGUUCAAAUCUUCACAUUCACUUUAAGAAUAACUAAAACUGUCCAGACCAUCAAGAGUACGCAUAUUCAAAAUAUCAUUGUGAAUCUGAAAGACGUCCCUUUACAGAAGAAAUGCAUAUUAUUUUAUCAUUACAGCAGUGGAGUUGUUGGGCUUACCCAAGUCAAACAAUACAGUUGGACACAAGGUCGAUGGCUUAAAAAGAGUGCUGAAUUGUUGCUACACAUGCUUAAAAAUGCACAAAUUAAUAGUGAAUUUAAGGGUUAGCUGAAUUUAGACAUAGAUUAUCUAGUCAAAGAUAUCCAGCUGAACAAAGCACUCAAGAUACCACCAUACUUACUGACUUUACAGUUCAAUUAACUCAUACAUUAGCUAACUUUGCUACAUUGAGAUGAUUUUUACUAAAAAGAAUAAAUUGUUUCCAAACCAGUAAAGCAGGUUGUACAGAAGAGAAAGACAUCCCAGAAGAAACUGAAGAAACAUAAAUUUAGGGUCUAG